CCUGGCUCAGAUUGAACGCUGGCGGCAUGCCUUACACAUGCAAGUCGAACGGUAACAGGUCUUCGGACGCUGACGAGUGGCGAACGGGUGAGUAAUGCAUCGGAACGUGCCCAGUCGUGGGGGAUAACUGCUCGAAAGAGCAGCUAAUACCGCAUACGACCUGAGGGUGAAAGCGGGGGACCGUAAGGCCUCGCGCGAUUGGAGCGGCCGAUGUCAGAUUAGCUAGUUGGUGGGGUAAAGGCCUACCAAGGCAACGAUCUGUAGUUGGUCUGAGAGGACGACCAGCCACACUGGGACUGAGACACGGCCCAGACUCCUACGGGAGGCAGCAGUGGGGAAUUUUGGACAAUGGGCGCAAGCCUGAUCCAGCAAUGCCGCGCGCAGGAAGAAGGCCUUCGGGUUGUAAACUGCUUUUGUCAGGGAAGAAAUCUUCUGGGCUAAUACCCCGGGAGGAUGACGGUACCUGAAGAAUAAGCACCGGCUAACUACGUGCCAGCAGCCGCGGUAAUACGUAGGGUGCGAGCGUUAAUCGGAAUUACUGGGCGUAAAGCGUGCGCAGGCGGUUAUGUAAGACAGAUGUGAAAUCCCCGGGCUC
Molecule: ribosomal RNA, 595 nt
Filed under: uncultured beta proteobacterium
Lineage: Bacteria; Pseudomonadati; Pseudomonadota; Betaproteobacteria
Description: bacterial SSU rRNA
Rfam family: Bacterial small subunit ribosomal RNA
Source: RNAcentral